Molecule: long non-coding RNA, 1400 nt
Organism: Cydia fagiglandana
Lineage: Eukaryota; Metazoa; Arthropoda; Insecta; Lepidoptera; Tortricidae
Exons: 2
Source: RefSeq, a predicted model, not a curated record
UCGUAAAAUGCGUUCAUCCUUGCCGGUUCUGUUUUCCUUCUAGUGCAAGAAUUGUGUUUCAUUUAUUAUGGGUUUUAUGAUUGUGAUUUAUAUAUUACUAGCCAUUAUUGCUGUGGUUAUGAUAAGUUCCUCAUUGUGGCAGUGCUGGGCGUGGCACAAACUGCGUCGCGUGCGCGUCAGGGAACAGGAAGACAACCACAAUAGAAUGAUGGCGGCGCUGUAUGAUGUCCCUGCAACGGGGGAUAAACGUGACGUUCCUUAGCUUCACGUUUAUCCCCCGAAAGUGUACGAGAAAUAGAGGGCUGAUUUAGUGACGUGAUUGUGUAAAUGUGUUAAUCAAGUGUAAACUGCGAGUGGAGACCACGGACUAGCAAGCGCAGCGUAGGAUGUCCACCCACAAGAUGGACAGACGAACUUGUUAAGGUCGCCGGAAGACGCUGGAUGCGGGUCGCUUCCAACCGGCACGUAUGGAGAUCCAAGGGGGAGGCCUAUGUUCAGCAGUGGACGUCUUAUGGCUGAGAGGAUGAUGAUGAUGAUGAAGUGUAAACUAGAUAUAUUAUAGUUUGUCAAACUUUGUCAGUCAGUAUAUAAGAAACAGGAAAACUAUAAGUAUGUAUGUACUCAACCUUUGCUUUUGGGUGUUAGUACUAGUGUAAGACAAAGAUAGUAUGAUUCUCUCUGUCUAUGAUUGAAAUGAGACAGUCCUUUGACAAAUUAUAAGUGAAAAGUCAGCAUCAGUAGUAGGUAGUUGAUAAGACCAACGGCUCGAUUCGGGAAAUUAAUUAGAGAUUCACUAGAUAUGAAAUAGUAAAGAUAUGUGACGUUCCACGGCAAAAGGUACCUUUACUAUAUCGUAUCUAGUUAAUAUCUAAUACGUUUCCCGAAUCGCGCCGUAAAUUAAAGCUACAGUUUUGAAUGAUUCACGGUUAGUAUCACUAGACUUAUAUAUAUCGACCGGGAUAUGAACCGUGAUUAUAUAUAUACUUACCUUUCACAUCCUUUGUAUUUUUUACCUUUUCUAUUUUAAUAUCGGGAAAACAAUACAAAAGGUAAUCACGGUUCAUAUCCCGGUCGAUAUAAGUCUAGUAAAUUAAAACUAUUAGAGGAAGGUAGAUAUAGUCCUACCCGUAUUUAUUUAUUUUAUUUAUAUAUAAAUAAAUAACUCAUAUGUUAGUUACGUGUGUGGUGUAAUAAAUAAUAACCACUCACAUGCUUUUGGUAACGUAGCUACCAGCUGUCACCCUUAUUUUAUUAUAAUAAUAGAGGUCACUGAAAAAUAUCAAGCAUGUGAGUGGAUAAACAAAUUCGUGAUAUUGAAAUGAUGAUACAUAUAUUUCUAGCUAUGUAAGUAAUUUAUGUUCAACACAGGCAAAUAAUCAAUAAAACUUUACCAGCCUUGA